This 468-nucleotide ribosomal RNA is filed under the name uncultured bacterium. RNAcentral describes it as "partial 16S ribosomal RNA". It matches the Rfam family "Bacterial small subunit ribosomal RNA", at positions 28 to 507 of the family's 1533-position model. The record is from RNAcentral.
GACGAACGCUGGCGGCGUGCUUAACACAUGCAAGUCGAACGGAAAGGCCCUGCUUUUGUUGGGUGCUCGAGUGGCGAACGGGUGAGUAACACGUGAGUAACCUGCCCUUGACUUUGUGAUAACUUUAGGGAACUGGGGCUAAUACCGGAUAUGAGCUCCUGCUGCAUGGUGGUGGUUGGAAAGUUUCGGCGGUUGGGGAUGGACUCGCGGCUUAUCAGCUUGUUGGUGGGGUAGUGGCUUACCAAGGCUUCGACGGGUAGCCGGCCUGAGAGGGUGACCGGCCACAUUGGGACUGCGAGACGGCCCAGACUCGUACGGGAGGCAGCAGUGGGGAAUAUUGCAGAAUGGGCGGAAGCCUGAUGCAGCAACGCCGCGUGCGGGAUGACGGCCUUCGGGUUGUAAACCGCUUUCGCCUGUGACGAAGCGGGAGUGACGGUAAUGGGUAAAGAAGCACCGGCUAACUACGUG